Musa acuminata subsp. malaccensis (wild Malaysian banana) is the source of this 797-nucleotide non-coding RNA. Lineage: Eukaryota; Viridiplantae; Streptophyta; Magnoliopsida; Zingiberales; Musaceae. The record is from RefSeq and is a predicted model, not a curated record.
UCUCAUCUUUCUUGGUUACUACCCUUCUCUCUCUUCCUCGCUUCUCGUGAUACGCAUAAAAGCUCACAUCGAAGUGUCAUCUUUGCAGGUAGGAGUUACUUAUUGGUGCAGGUGCAGGUGCGACGCACUGAUUAGGGGUGGCAGAUCUGAAACAGAGAGCAUGCAUCUUUUCUUGUUAUCGGUUUGUGGUGCUGCUGCAGAGAGGACGUUGUGCAAGAUGACACCGUCUUGAGCUUCCCCUUAAUUCUCGCAUGGCGAGACUCGUACGAACGAGGAUGCAGCGCUGCUACCGCCUCUUGGAACCAAUUAUCGCGCGCGCAAGAGAGAGAGAGAGAGAGGACGAUGUCCAAGAAGGCACCGUUUUGAGCUUCACCUUAUUACUCUCACAGGAAGUGGGACUGAGGGAGGCAGAGAAUCAGCAUUUCACUGGCGCCUUCUGCAACCAAUCGAUCAGAAUCUACUACAUGUGCGUACGAGACACCGCAGCGGAAGAUUAAUUUCCUUUCUCUUCUGGCUGUCAACUCCCACUAGAUCUAUCGCUAUCUUCCAUCACAGCAGAAGGCUUCCUUUCUCCAAUCAUCAUGGAAGAUAUUGGUGUGGCUGAAGUAGGAAGGGUUGAUCGACAAGGCCGAGCUAAUCAAGAAAGCAUGCCUGUCACCUCACUCUCUUCCAAAAGUGUCACUAUUUGCAAGAGAAAUAUACUCGUAAAAUAAACCCUGUCUCCCAAUAUAUGCCAGUCUUGUACCUAUCUGCUUCCAAGACAUUACAGGAGAGGGAGAGAGAGAGAGAGAGAGAGA